RNAcentral lists this long non-coding RNA (4922 nucleotides) under Vigna radiata. Its description in RNAcentral is "long non-coding RNA (VRAD_LNC009038)". The record is from RNAcentral. Lineage: Eukaryota; Viridiplantae; Streptophyta; Magnoliopsida; Fabales; Fabaceae.
UGAUAGGGAUGCUCCAACCUCACGGACUUGAAACAGCAGCGGAGAUCAUGAAUGAACAGCAGCGGACAAGAUAUGGAAUGCAGCAGAGAUGAGAUGCGGUGGAACUGAGUUGCGGUUGCAAUCUGAGAUACGGCAAAUGAGAUGCGGAGAGAGUUUGGAUAAUAAAGUGAUAGAGAAUCACGCAGAAUGGAGUAGGUGUUUAGGUGAAGGAAGUUGAUGGUGGAAGUGAGCUUUGGUGGUGAUGGAGACUAGCUCAGCCGGCCUUCCAUUGGAAGGAAGCUAGUUGAGAUGUGGAGAAGCUCAGGGAGGACUUUCGGCCAGAGUUUCAGAUGCUGGACAGUUUCAACAGCAAAGAGAAAUCUCAUUACAUCCAAAAGUGUGUUCUCAUUACAUCCAAAAGUGUGUUACAAGCUUUGCCAAUGAGAUUUUAUAGAUCAAUCUCAAGGCCAUGCAUGGGAAAUAUCAGAUCUACAUGUUUCAGAUCUCAUUCCAACUAAUUAACCAUGUGCUAAAUGUGUGUGGCUUCUAGAAAGCUUUAUUAAACACAUGUAAAAUAUGCUAUGUGCCUANNNNNNNNNNNNNNNNNNNNNNNNNNNNNNNNNNNNNNNNNNNNNNNNNNNNNNNNNNNNNNNNNNNNNNNNNNNNNNNNNNNNNNNNNNNNNNNNNNNNNNNNNNNNNNNNNNNNNNNNNNNNNNNNNNNNNNNNNNNNNNNNNNNNNNNNNNNNNNNNNNNNNNNNNNNNNNNNNNNNNNNNNNNNNNNNNNNNNNNNNNNNNNNNNNNNNNNNNNNNNNNNNGUCUUGAGUUAGUGAUAACUUGGAAGAUAUCUCUAACUCAAGUCUUUGAGUGCCAUGUGUUAAAGAGUGCAACUUUUGAAAAGGUUUGAUGGCAAAUUCUUGGAAAGAAAAGGUAGAAUUAAAGCAUUCAAUAACAAUUGGAAAGUGAAAAGAUAGAAAACCUCCCUUUAAAAAUUUGUGUUCUAUUGUGAGAAUAAGGGAUGUUGCCAGUUCUUUCUUCUUUUCUUCCAUGUCUUUCUUUUCAAGUUCUUCCUUCUCUUCCUCUUCCUUUCUUUCUUUCUCUCUUAUUUUCUCUUCUUCUCUUCUCUCUUGUACUCUUCUCUCUCUUUCUUCCUCUUCUUUUUUCUCCCUUUCUUCUUCUUCUCUUCUCACUAGUUCUCUUCUCACUUUUUCUCUUUCCUUUCUUUCUUCAUCUUCUCUCCUUUCCCUCUCUCUUCUUUCUUUCUCUAUUCUCUCCUUAUCUUUUCUCUCUUGCUCUCUUCUUUCUUGUUCUCCCUUCCUCUCUCUUUCUCUUUUCUGAUCCUUUAGCUUUUGAAGUUUGUCCCCAAAUUCUAUUUCUCUGCGAAAGAAACCUUGAUCUUUUAAACUCUCAAGAAAUGAUUUUCCCUCUUGAAUACUAUCUCUCAUAAGUUUCAAGUUUCUUAUAAUCAAAGGAGGUACAAACUUUCUUCUCAUGCACGCUCUCAAUUCAUACCAAUUUUCAAUGGUGGAUUUCCUACCUUUAGGAACCCAAUAUUGCCUCUCAUCCCACCACUCAUAUGCAUGCUUUUCUAACCUAGAAAGAUAUAAACUAAGAACACGAGAUUUACACUCUCUAGAAAGAACAAUUGUACUAUAAGACUCAAGUUCAUUUUGUCUGAGAAGAACAGGAUGCAUUUGAUUAAUUUCUUUUUCCCAAACUAAGUAUGUUAAGACAUUUGUAUCUUUACCAAAGAAGGGAAUUUUUCUAGCUUUAGUACACAAAUCAUCCUUAAUGUAUGAACUAGACAACCUAGAUGAAUAAAAAGACUUUUUUUUUUGUUUCUAAAAGUUUUCUUGUGUCACAACUACUUAGAUUUUACCCAAGAACAAUUUCCAGGUAAGGGAGGUGAAUCACUAGGAUUGCUUAAGUACCAAGCCUUGUCCUUGCCAAAAUUGUUCUAGGCUACUCACUUAGUUGUUGUUACUUGCAAGAUUACUUUUAAAAUCACAAAAGAAGACUCAAAAGCAAAUAAAAAACAAAGGAAAACAACAAGUUGGGACUCUAAUGCCGGACUCUAAUGUAACUCCUAAACGGGUAACACAAAUUAAAACACAAAAGAAAAGUUUUGCCAAGAGUUGAAAGAGCACCAAGGACUCUUCCAAGAAACUUGGACUUUGAAUGGCCUUUUACAAAAAAAACAAUUGAAGACUAAAACAGAUUUCAGCUAAAAACAUCACAAAACAGAUGCAAGAAUCAUAAAUUCUGCAAUGGGCUGUUACAGCUGCUCCUAACGUGUACUGCUGCUGAUUUUGCUCUUGGACAGUGUUGACAGUCAUGGUUGAUGUGCAUCCAGUUUCAUAUAAGCACUGCUGNAGUAGUUUUACAGUUGCUGAUUACACUGCUGCAGCCAACGAUUCAAUACUUUCCAGACCAAUUCUGCAUAGCUNCACAUGCCAAAACACAAAUUCUCCAAGCACUAACAAUUAUAAUUGAAUAUCAACAAUGCUAAUAGAGAUUAGAACUUGGAAAUGGAGCGCAGUUACCACUUUGGUAAGCUGAUUUAAUGCAAAUUAAAUGGAGAACAAAUUGCUUCCAGAAUUGAAAGAAAAAAUUGAACUUGGUUCAACAAUAUUUUAAUGAAAUCUGAGGCAAUCUNAGCUUGACUAGCUUUCUACAUUCAAAUCAGUACACCAAAUGAGUAAAACCAAAUCAGUUUUGGCAAUUUUGUUUUCAAAAAUUCAUUUCACGAAAAUUGUAGUCNAAACAGUAUUUGGAAGUUCAUUCAAAAUGUUCACAAUCUGGAAAACAAAACAGAAGAAAAAGGUAUUGGACUUUGCAGCUUUGGUUUCUCUUUAGAAAUAAGAAUCAAAGAAGAUUCUGCAAAGCUCUCAGCUGCGGGUAGAGUUGCACUAUGCUGGAAACAUUCUGCAGAUUUGCAGAAUGAAGAUUCACGUGAAUUCUGCACNNNAAAUAGCUUCUCAACCUGGACUUCUCCUCUCUCAAUCUCCUUCCUAAGAUGCUACCAAUGAUAAGGACAGAUGAAUUCGUCUCUGCACCAAUCUAGAACUCACAUAGACCACCAAAUUUUAGUUAAAAAAAAACCGCAAAGUAUAACUGUUGCUGCUAUAGAAAUCUGCUAAACCAGAAGCACUGCUGUCAUAUUAUCAAACAGCUUAUGUGCAGAAUGUUCAAACAAAUCAAAGCAAGCAAUUAAACGGUUUUCAAUGGAAGGUGGCACUCAAAAUGAACUUAAGAAUGGUUCUAGAGUGGAUUUGAAAAACAAGAAACAAAUAUAAGUUGCAGGUACAUUGAAUUCAACUCAAAUGGAAUUUAGGCAAAAGUGUUUGAAGAAAUGCCUAAAUGAACUGCUGAUAACUAUGCAUUCAGUUUCUGACUUAUGUCAAUUGGCACGGUUCCUUUUGCUUUUACAAUGCAGCAUAUAUGUAUUUUGAUUUAUGCUUUCGUUCUUUUUCUUUAAUUACUGGAACCAAGCAUUUUGCUCCCAAUGAUCAUACAAUAUGGAUGCACACUUCACAGCAAUAUUAUCAUAAAAACACUGCAACUUAUUCAAAAGAAAUUUGGCUGAAAUAAGGAAACUGGAUUGGCUAUAUUUAGCAGACAAUGGUAUUUUUCGUAUUUGAAGCUUUCAGCAACUUUAAUUGACCAAAUGUGACUUAUAUAAAUGGUCAAGUGAAACAAUUCAGAUGUGAAUCAAAAUUUGACUCUAUGAGUUGCUAUUUCAAGCUAAAUCAUAGCCAAUGCAUUAUGCAGAUUCAGCAUAGGAUUCAAAAGUUUUUGGAUCAGAGAUUUGGCACUUUAAGCAAGUUUGAAUUGCCAAAAAUAUCAUAUUAAAAUGGCUUUAAGGCACUACAUACGGCCAGUUCAAAAUUUCACCACAUAGGUUGCUCAAUUCAACCAAAAAUUGGUCUAAUACACUAGCCAAAAUGCAGCAGAAUAUCCAAACUGUUAUGAAACACGUUUUGUGACUUUAGAAGAGCAAAAUAAACUUGAAAAAAAAGACUCGAGGAAUGACUUUACAGAUGUCCAGCAUUCAAUACUACUACUGAACAGAAUUAAAAGCAUAAAAAGACACAAACACAAGGAAGGCAGUUCGGUCAAGUUGCUAUGAAAAUAACCUUUGAAUUAUGUAGUGUGAUACAACCAAAUUGGUUCGUCUUAACAAAUCACUUUUUAUUUGGUAAAUUCACACACUGUUACAGCACAUAUGCACAUACCAGAAACAUAAUUAUGACUUUGCAUCAGAUUUAAAACAGAAUCGAAUCUAUGCUUCUGUACUGCAGUUGAUGGAUUCAGAUCACACUUGAGCUCUAUGAAUCAUUGCUCAUGUUAGUGUGCAUCUUUUGAAUUCCAUAUCAAACAUCACAGAUCUAUCCAGAUGCAGUUUCAACUUAGAAAUUUGACAGAAUAAAAUCAAAACACAUUACUAGACAUAACAGAAUGGGAUUUGAAAAUUUAAAAGACUCAAGGACACAAGAUCGGACCGAUUAAAAAAAAUGAACAAAUAAAAGCAAUGAAAAGUUGGAUCAAACAAUGCAAUCAGUGGAAACUACUGGAAUGAAGAGAAACCAAUGGAACAGUGAAACAAAGAAGCAAAAACACGAAGGAAAAUAUAUUGACAGUGUAGAAUGAAUGAAGAAAACACUUAGCUGGAACAACCAGAGAGCACCGUGAGCAACCUAGGCUCUGAUACCAUAUGAUAGGGAUGCUCCAACCUCACGGACUUGAAACAGCAGCGCAAAUCAUGAAUGAACAGCAGCGGACAAGAUAUGGAAUGCAGCAGAGGUGAGAUGCGGUGGAACUGAGUUGCGGUUGCAAUCUGAGAUACGACAAAUGAGAUGCGGAGAGAGUUUGGAUAAUAAAGUGAUAGAGAAUCACGCAGAAUGGAGUAGGUGUUUAGGUGAAGGAAGUUGAUGGUGGAAGUGNNN